UGGGAACUGCGUUNUGAACUGGGUGACUAGAGUGUGUCAGAGGGAGGUAGAAUUNCACGUGUAGCAGUGAAAUGCGUAGAGAUGUGGAGGAAUNCCGAUGGCGAAGGCAGCCUCNUGGGAUAACACUGACGUUCAUGCCCGAAAGCGUGGGUAGCAAACAGGUUUAGAUACCCUGGUAGUCCACGCCCUAAACGAUGUCGAAUAGCUGUUGGGCAGCAUGACUGCUUAGUAGCGAAGCUAACGCGUGAAAUCGACCGCCUGGGGAGUACGGUCGCAAGAUUAAAACUCAAAGGAAUUGACGGGGACCCGCACAAGCGGUGGAUGAUGUGGAUUAAUUNGAUGCAACGCGAAGAACCUUACCUGGUCUUGACAUGUACGGAACCCUCCAGAGACGGAGGAGUGCCUUCGGGAGCCGUAACACAGGUGCUGCAUGGCUGUCGUCAGCUCGUGUCGUGAGAUGUUGGGUUAAGUCCCGCAACGAGCGCAACCCUUGUCAUUAGUUGCCAUCAUUAAGUUGGGCACUCUAAUGAGACUGCCGGUGACAAGCCGGAGGAAGGUGGGGAUGACGUCAAGUCCUCAUGGCCCUUAUGACCAGGGCUUCACACGUCAUACAAUGGUCGGUACAGAGGGUAGCCAAGCCGCGAGGCGGAGCCAAUCUCACAAAACCGAUCGUAGUCCGGAUUGCACUCUGCAACUCGAGUGCAUGAAGUCGGAAUCGCUAGUAAUCGCAGGUCAGCAUACUGCGGUGAAUACGUUCCCGGGUCUUGUACACAC
RNAcentral lists this ribosomal RNA (774 nucleotides) under uncultured bacterium. RNAcentral describes it as "bacterial SSU rRNA". It matches the Rfam family "Bacterial small subunit ribosomal RNA", at positions 615 to 1390 of the family's 1533-position model. The record is from RNAcentral.